CCCAACUAUCCCUAUUAAUCAUUACGUCAAUCUUAGAAACCAACAAAAUAAGAUCGAACGUCCUAUUUCAUUAUUCCAUGCUAAUGUAUUCAAGCGUUAGCCUGCUUUAAACACUCUAAUUUUUUCAAAGUAACAGUCCAGAUUCCUCGCAACACCAAAUUAAUGGCAUUACGGCUCAUCAGGAAGGAGGAAUCAGUGAGACCAGUACAUACCAGUGGCAUGACCAACCUACUGACCCCGAAAUUCAACUACGAGCUUUUUAACUGCAACAACUUUAAUAUACGCUAUUGGAGCUGGAAUUACCGCGGCUGCUGGCACCAGACUUGCCUCCAA
This 333-nucleotide unclassified non-coding RNA is filed under the name uncultured Glomeraceae. RNAcentral's name for it is "sequence contains 18S rRNA gene". The record is from RNAcentral. Lineage: Eukaryota; Fungi; Glomeromycota; Glomeromycetes; Glomerales; Glomeraceae.